RNAcentral lists this ribosomal RNA (381 nucleotides) under uncultured eukaryote. RNAcentral describes it as "partial 18S ribosomal RNA". It matches the Rfam family "Eukaryotic small subunit ribosomal RNA", at positions 592 to 976 of the family's 1831-position model. The record is from RNAcentral.
CAAUAGCGUAUAUUAAAGUUGUUGCGGUAAAAAAGCUCGUAGUUGGAUUUCUACCGAAGAUAGCCGGUCGGGUCUUCGACCUUGUAUCUGGUUUUGUCUUUGGUAUCCUCAUAGGGAACGUUUCUGCGCUUUAUUGCGUGGUGCGGUAUCUAUGACUUUUACUUUGAGGAAAUUAGAGUGUUCACGGCAGGCAAACGCCUUGAAUAUAUCAGCAUGGAAUAAUAACAUAGGAUCUUCGUCCUAUUUUGUUGGUUUCUAGGGCUAAGAUAAUGAUUAAUAGGGAUAAUUGGGGGCAUCUGUAUCAACGCGUCAGAGGUGGAAUUCUUGGAUUGCGUUGCGACAAACUACUGCGAAAGCAUUUGCCAAGGAUGUUUUCAUUGA